RNAcentral lists this small RNA (691 nucleotides) under Pongo abelii (Sumatran orangutan). RNAcentral describes it as "processed transcript". Lineage: Eukaryota; Metazoa; Chordata; Mammalia; Primates; Hominidae. The record is from RNAcentral.
CCCUGAAAUCACUCACAUUGUAAUAAAGGAGUCUGUGGUCAGCAUUAACAAGCAGGACAACAAGAAAAUGGAACUGAAGCUCUCUUCCCACGAGGAGGCCUUGUCCUUUGUGUCCCUGGUAGAUGGCUACUUCCGGCUCACAGCAGACGCCCAUCAUUACCUCUGCACCGACGUGGCCCCCCCGUUGAUCGUCCACAACAUACAGAAUGGCUGUCAUGGUCCAAUCUGGUUGGUCCUAGAACCUUAUCAGUUGCCUUUGGUGUGCAGAGGGCCCAUGUUUUAGUGAUGGGGCAUGUCAUCAUUGUUUAGGUCAGGCCAGUUGACCAUGCUGCCUGGUACUUGUUGGCUGUCCUCCUUUCCUCCCUGCUGUCCAAGCUCUGGUCAGGCCUUCCUGUAAUCUCCUGCCAUCCUCUUUGCAGCAGCCCCUCAAUGCUGCUUCUUUACUUGGAUCUCUCUUCAUAGUUUAACCCCCUCACCUCUCCAUAGCUGAUCAAGAAGUACUACACUUUCUGAUUUCUUGCUGUGUCAAACAAUGUGGGCAAUUCAAGAAACACUGAACACAGCUGAGCGUGCUGCCAUGUGCCUGUGGUUUCAGCUCCUUGAGAGGCUGAGGUGGGAGGAUCACUUGAGCCCAGGAGUUCAAUUCUAGCCUGGGCAACAUAGCAAUAUCCCAUCUCUAAAAUAUAUAAAA